This 468-nucleotide ribosomal RNA is filed under the name uncultured bacterium. RNAcentral describes it as "partial 16S ribosomal RNA". It matches the Rfam family "Bacterial small subunit ribosomal RNA", at positions 28 to 507 of the family's 1533-position model. The record is from RNAcentral.
GACGAACGCUGGCGGCGUGCUUAACACAUGCAAGUCGAACGGAAAGGCCCUGCUUUUGUGGGGUGCUCGAGUGGCGAACGGGUGAGUAACACGUGAGUAACCUGCCCUUGACUUUGGGAUAACUUCAGGAAACUGGGGCUAAUACCGGAUAGGAGCUCCUGCUGCAUGGUGGGGGUUGGAAAGUUUCGGCGGUUGGGGAUUGACUCGCGGCUUAUCAGCUUGUUGGUUGGGUAGUGGCUUACCAAGGCUUUGACGGGUAGCCGGCCUGAGAGGGUGACCGGCGUCAUUGGGAGUGAGAGGCGGCCCAGACUCGUACGGGAGGAAGCAGUGGGGAAUAUUGCACAAUGGGCGGAAGCCUGAUGCAGCAACGCCGCGUGCGGGAUGACGGCCUUCGGGUUGUAAACCGCUUUCGCCUGUGACGAAGCGUGAGUGACGGUAAUGGGUAAAGAAGCACCGGCUAACUACGUG